This 468-nucleotide ribosomal RNA is filed under the name uncultured bacterium. Its description in RNAcentral is "partial 16S ribosomal RNA". It matches the Rfam family "Bacterial small subunit ribosomal RNA", at positions 28 to 507 of the family's 1533-position model. The record is from RNAcentral.
GACGAACGCUGGCGGCGUGCUUAACACAUGCAAGUCGAACGGAAAGGCCCUGCUUUUGUGGGUUGCUCGAGUGGCGAACGGGUGAGUAACACGUGAGUAACCUGCCCUUGACUUUGGGAUAACUUCAGGAAACUGGGGCUCAUACCGGAUAGGAGCUCCUGCUGCAUGGUGGGGGUUGGAAAGUUUCGGCGGUUGGGGAUGGACUCGCGGCUUAUCAGCUUGUUGGUGGGGUAGUGGCUUACCAAGGCUUUGACGGGUAGCCGGCCUGAGAGGGUGACCGGCCACAUUGGGACUGAGAUACGGCCCAGACUCCUACGGGAGGCAGCAGUGGGGAAUAUUGCACAAUGGGCGGAAGCCUGAUGCAGAAACGCCGCGUGCGGGAUGACGGCCUUCGGGUUGUAAACCGCUUUCGCCUGUGACGAAGCGUGAGUGACGGUAAUGGGUAAAGAAGCACCGGCUAACUACGUG